GCGGUGUUGCUAAAUCAAACAUGAAGUUCAAAGCAUAAUCGAAACAUGGAAAUAAAGCUUGGAAAGGAAGCUAACCGGUUGCGGCGAGCUCGACCGACGAAUGUGAGUAAGCGUUGCCUUCAACUCUCUCCUUUUCUUUUCUGAAUGGUAGCCGCCAAUCCUCUUCAAAAUUAGGGUUUUUUCAGCUCUUUAACAGUAGCCGCUAAUCUUCUCCUCUUCUUUUCUGAAUGGUGGCCGCUAAUGUUCUCCUAAAACUAGGGUUUUUCAGCUCUCCCCCUGUUAGUGAACAAUGGCCUCCCUUUUAUAGUCACACUGCUAGGGUCUUUUGAAUUGGCCGCUGAGACCAAAGGGGUGUUGGACUUGGAAGUGCUUUUGGUGCUGCCAGUUUGUCUACCCUGUUUUGGUGUUUAUUCUGAAAAAGGUAAUAUGUACCUUGUACUUCUUCUGUAAAAAUGUUUUAUUUUGUUGCUUGUGAACCUUUGCUGCCUUACUAAGUUAUUGUGAUUUUACUGCAGUGAAGUUUCUUGCAACUUUGAGGCUUCUGUUAACCACACUCAACCUUGCAAGAGCAACCUUCUUGAGGUCAGGCCUGUAGUAGUUAUCUGCCACUGGUUUUGAACAGCCUUAGCCAUCCUCCUAAACUCCUUCUUCAUCACAGAUUUAUGAAGCAAAGCGGACGGCUUGUUCUGCUUCCUUGGCUUGGAGAAAGUUAGCAGGCUUCAAGUUAGAGUGCACAAUACGUUCCUCGUGAAUUGUAUUGACAACUUGAAGAAUUUUCGGCCAAUAAAACCGAAGCCAGUUUUCAUCUAUCAUCUCGUUUGAUUCACUCAGCUUCUUCCACUGCUGCGACAACAUGUGAGCUAACUCAAUUUCACCGUAUUCAAACUCAGAGUCGGCACAAGAAUCAAAUGUUUGCACCACACUUGCAGCCUUAUCAACUGAUAAUUUAUUCGAUUUUUCGACACAAGUGUUUACAUUCGUUGAUUCCAUAACUCUUUCAGCUUCUUAGUAGCCUUCUCAGCGGAGGGUGUAGACCACUGACACGGGAG
This 1049-nucleotide long non-coding RNA is filed under the name Lathyrus oleraceus (garden pea). RNAcentral describes it as "Pisum sativum (pea) long non-coding RNA (PSAT_LNC030513)". Lineage: Eukaryota; Viridiplantae; Streptophyta; Magnoliopsida; Fabales; Fabaceae. The record is from RNAcentral.